AAUGAAUGCAAGGAUAAAAGAAAUGCACUAUGCAAAUAUCUGGCUACAAAAGUUGUUCUGUCUUGCAGAAAGUCAGUAAAGAGAGAGACGGACAUCAUUGAAGUAUCCCAGAAACUCCAUACAGAUAAAAGUCCCUCGUUUUAUACAUGAGCAUACCUUCUUCAGGUCCUGAGACCUGAGCUGAGUAUUACAUCAUCCGCUAGAGAAAUGAAGGAGUCAUUUAGUGUCGUCACCCAGCAGUUAGUGCCAUUAUGUCUAAUUACAGAUCAGAGGAAAUAUGUAGCUGAAGAAAGUAGAGAAGAGAAUGAGACAAGAGAAGAAUCCUUCCGUUGCAGCGAGCAUUGAUGAUUGAAAGCCCAUAAAGCUUCUAUUGACUCAGAGUAUAAGGGGCUUGAUUUAUCUCAACACUUGGCAGGAAAAUAAAAACAAGAAUAAUACAGGUGUGUCCUUUGCUGUAAAUAAUACAGAUUUACUCUCUGCAAAUUUCAUAACCUUAAUGAUGCUGGAAACGUACUGACGCAAGUACGUCAGGCAACACUUGAUGCUGGCAAUCAAUUGUUUACGGGGUUGACAUUUUCUAACAUCUGUUUUAAGACUGUGAAGUUUUAAGCUGCAAUUUUUCAUUGCCCAUACUGACACUUUCACCAAGCUUUCCUUAGCGAAGCUGGUACCUUGACUUGUUAAUUCAAGAAGUGCAGCUAGAUCUUCAGAGUUUCUGAGGACUGUACAAACAGUAAUGAAUAAAACCGUAUCCUCCAUCUUCCUUCAAAAAAUUACCUGUUGUGAGAAGUCUAACUCUCAGAAUUUGGGUCAAAAUUUUGCUUUGUAAUUUAUUUUUAUGAGUGCUGCCAAGUCAGGAUAUUGUUUAUUUAAAAAGAAAAAAAAAAACUGGGCCGUUUUGUGUGCGUAAAUAUAGUUUGAGAUUUGGUUGGUUCAAGAUGAGAAAAU
Molecule: long non-coding RNA, 948 nt
Filed under: Macaca fascicularis (crab-eating macaque)
Lineage: Eukaryota; Metazoa; Chordata; Mammalia; Primates; Cercopithecidae
Description: lncRNA (ENSMFAG00000061264.1)
Source: RNAcentral